GAUGAACGCUAGCGGCAGGCUUAACACAUGCAAGUCGAGGGGCAGCAUGAAGGUUAGCAAUAACCUUUGAUGGCGACCGGCGCAAGGGUGCGUAACGCGUGAGCAACUUGCCCGUUUCUGGGGAAUAACCGGUGGAAACGCCGACUAAUACCCCAUAGCAUCAGAAUGAGGCAUCUCAAUCUGAUUAAAGAAAUUCGGAAACGGAUAGGCUCGCGUGACAUUAGCUAGAUGGCGGGGUAACGGCCCACCAUGGCUACGAUGUCUAGGGGUUCUGAGAGGAAGGUCCCCCACACUGGAACUGAGACACGGUCCAGACUCCUACGGGAGGCAGCAGUGAGGAAUAUUGGUCAAUGGUCUGACGACUGAACCAGCCAUGCCGCGUGAAGGUCACGGCCCUAUGGGUCUUAAACUUCUUUUGUAAGGGAGCAAUAAGUCUCACGUGUGGGAUGAUGAGAGUACCUUACGAAUAAGCAUCGGCUAACUCCGUG
RNAcentral lists this ribosomal RNA (488 nucleotides) under uncultured bacterium. RNAcentral describes it as "bacterial SSU rRNA". It matches the Rfam family "Bacterial small subunit ribosomal RNA", at positions 28 to 507 of the family's 1533-position model. The record is from RNAcentral.